GAUUACCGGCUGAACUUAAGCAUAUCACUAAGCGGAGGAAAAGAAACUAACCAGGAUUCCCCUAGUAACGGCGAGUGAAGAGGGAAUAGCCCAGCACCGAAGCCUGCGGUAGGUUUACUGCUAGGCAAUGUGGUGUUUGGGUCGACUCGCGGGAUUGCCACUCCACUCGAAGUCCAGCACUGAGUAUGGUUCCCUGGAUUUGGCCCAGAGAGGGUGAAAGGCCCGUGCGAGUGGAGGUUCAGACAUGUGAGGCAAUUCACCAGGUCGACCUUCGAGUCGGGGUGUUUUGGAAUGCAGC
Molecule: ribosomal RNA, 298 nt
Filed under: Spirometra erinaceieuropaei
Lineage: Eukaryota; Metazoa; Platyhelminthes; Cestoda; Diphyllobothriidea; Diphyllobothriidae
Description: partial 28S ribosomal RNA
Rfam family: Eukaryotic large subunit ribosomal RNA
Source: RNAcentral